GUUAGCAGGUUGGAUUUCGUGCGACGGGUAAAAGGUGACAGGUGAACAAAUCGUAGGCCUGGAGCUGCUAGAAACAGCCUCUCUCUGUAAACGUCACCAUCUCUCCAGUACCAUCUGCUGUCAGCCGGCUACCACACUGACACACAAAGGUACCAGCUUCCAACCAGUAACCGUGACUAACUCCUAACAAUAGAAUUCAAAUCGCAGACUGCUUAAUCCACGGGAUCGAGGUUUGCACAGAUAACUGACAGAAACUGGAUCCCAAGACGUGAGGAAUGCAAACUCUACAAUACUCCGUGAGCUCAAUAUCAAACAUAAAUACAAAAUGAAGAAGACCACCAUCGCUUUGCCACAUCAUGCGGGGCAGGAAUCUUGUUCUUUUAAGGGCUGAACCUGUUUGCAGCCGAGCUCGAAAGGAUCGAGUCUAACACAGUUUACUUACCUCAGCGAGAACAGUUUAUACAAUCAAAGGCUGUUUAACCUCAAACAGCACACUUCUUUGAGACUUGGUAAAUAUGCAGGACCAGUAUGAACCAAUUUCUAUAUUCCUUGCGUAUACUUGUGUUAAUCCGGAUUAUUUUACACUGAUACAAAUUGAGAGAAUAUUUCGACAGGUGUCUUUUUCGUUACUGGUAGUCACGUUAUCAGUUUAGUGAAAGGACGAUGUGUUUAAUCUUACAAAGUACUUUAGUUAUCACUGAUCUCAUGAAACUAUAUCAAGGGCCCAAUGUUUUAUUUUUAUGCUUUACAAUCAGCGUUCAACAAUAUAAUUUAGUUCACUUUUGUGUCAAUAAGUUAAGAAU
Molecule: non-coding RNA, 803 nt
Organism: Chiloscyllium plagiosum (whitespotted bambooshark)
Lineage: Eukaryota; Metazoa; Chordata; Chondrichthyes; Orectolobiformes; Hemiscylliidae
Source: RefSeq, a predicted model, not a curated record